Molecule: ribosomal RNA, 253 nt
Filed under: uncultured bacterium
Lineage: Bacteria
Description: partial 16S ribosomal RNA
Rfam family: Bacterial small subunit ribosomal RNA
Source: RNAcentral
UACGUAGGGACCGAGCGUUGUCCGGAAUCAUUGGGCGUAAAGAGCGUGUAGGCGGCCAGGUAGGUCGGUUGUGAAAACUGGAGGCUCAACCUUCAGAGGUCGACCGAAACCAUCUGGCUAGAGUCCGGGAGAGGAGAGUGGAAUUCCUGGUGUAGCGGUCAAAUGCGCAGAUAUCAGGAAGAACACCCGUGGCGAAAGCGGCUCUCUGGAACGGUACUGACGCUGAGACGCGAAAGCGUGGGGAGCGAACAGG